GUUGAACGCUGGCGGCAGGCCUAACACAUGCAAGUCGAGCGGAUGAAGGGAGCUUGCUCCUGGAUUCAGCGGCGGACGGGUGAGUAAUGCCUAGGAAUCUGCCUGGUAGGGGGGGAUAACGUCCGGAAACGGGCACUAAUACCGCAUACGUCCUGAGGGAGAAAGGGGGGGGGCUUCGGACCUCGCGCUAUCAGGUGAGCCUAGGUCGGAUUGGCUAGUUGGUGGGGUAAAGGCCUACCAAGGCGACGAUCCGUAACUGGUCUGAGAGGAUGAUCAGUCACACUGGAACUGAGACACGGUCCAGACUCCUACGGGAGGCAGCAGUGGGGAAUAUUGGACAAUGGGCGAAAGCCUGAUCCAGCCAUGCCGCGUGUGUGAAGAAGGUCUUCGGAUUGUAAAGCACUUUAAGUUGGGAGGAAGGGCAGUACGUUAAUACCUUGCUGUUUUGACGUUACCAACAGAAUAAGCACCGGCUAACUUCGUG
This 484-nucleotide ribosomal RNA is filed under the name uncultured bacterium. Its description in RNAcentral is "partial 16S ribosomal RNA". It matches the Rfam family "Bacterial small subunit ribosomal RNA", at positions 28 to 507 of the family's 1533-position model. The record is from RNAcentral.